ACAUUCCCUUCUGUCCCUGCCAUGCAGAGUCACCACGGGCAGCACACUGCUGUCACUGCACCAUGUCUCUGACUCUGAGCCUGGGACCCUGCUGCUCAGAACAGGGUUAGGUGCUCUGCAAGUCAGCUGUGGCCACCCGCCAAGCUCAGCGUGUGAGGACAGUGGCCACCUUCCUCUACUGGCCAGGGCCAUGGGACACUGCCCCUGAAGGCAGGGAUAUAAAGGGACACUCUGAGACCUACCCUCUCUGAACUGCUGAGACAGGGAGCCACAGUCCAGACACCCACUGUCUCUUGGUCUCCUCACCUUCCCACAGUUACCCCGCCAAGGAAAAGAAGAAGCCUUUCCCACAGCGCAGCCUCCCUGUAUGGAGUCCAGUUAGAGACUGCAUUCAGGAGGACAAGGGCUCUCUGCCAACUGGGACUGCGUUUCAUGGAGGGCCCAUCCUGCCCCAGGAACCCUCCAUUUCAGUCCCGCAGAGGGUUGACAGUUAAGUGACACUCUGCCCCUCCAGAGUCAAUCUUGGAGCCUUCCUUAGAGGUACAGUGCCCAGCACUGGUCUCCUGCCAUUGCCAGCCUCAGGCUCUCAGUCCUGUCCAACCCGCCUGCCACUCUUGCCCCACUCCUGCCCCACCCCGUCUUCUGCACACAGUGGCCUGGCAGGACUUUGAAUACCUGAGAACAUCCCACCUUGACAAGAUACUUGGAAAUCUUUCAGGUCGAUUGCACCCCAAAGGAAGGCCUCAGUGGGUGAUGCCUGCCAGAGGGAAGCAUCAUCAAGCUCUUUGAUUGGGUCUAGAAAAGCCUUAAGGCUGUUGGCUUUGUGCAAACGGUAAGAGAGAGCGUUUUCAGGCAAGCAGAUUCCAGACCGAAAUAGGAAAGAUUCGGGGAAGUUAUCCAUAGUGACAAAAUAAAACAUCACAUUCAAACCAUACCAAUAACUAACUAAAGAAAUAGAAUUUCUUUGUUUGUUUUUCAAGGCAAGGUUUCUCUGUGUAGCCCAGGCUGUCCUGGGACUCUCUCUGUAGGCCAGGCUGACCUUGAACUUGAAGAGAUCCAUCUGCCUCUGCCUCCCAAAUGCUGGGAUUAAAGGCAUGUGCCGCCACCCUAGCACUUCUACUAUAUUUAACAUAAAUUCUCCUAAGUACCAGUGCACAUCCUGGGAUAUGAGAGCUUUUAGUAGGUAGGUUCCCCUAGUGUCAGUGGUGGUGAUGACCCUGGAGGGCAGGGAUGAUAGUUUGUAAAUAUUCAGUACCUCAGUUGCUUACUCGCACUGAGGGCCCUGGGUAUGUGUUUAUGGGGAGGGAAUAGAGUGGCACUUGGCCACAGGAGCCUCAACUGGGUGACUGCUGGGCUACUGUCUCACUUCAGGAUCCCAUGCCUUUCUUAGGUUCUAGAAGAAUUCCCCAAAAUGGUCUGACUGCAGACCCCGACUUAAGGCCCCAAGACAAGGCCUCACUCCCAGGCUGGAGCCAGCAGACUGCCGUAUUUGGGAUGGCCCUUGACCCUGAGAAGGGCCUUGGCUCCCUCCCACCAGACUAGCAGCAGUCAAAUGCUCAAGUUUUUCACACAUUGGAGUGGUCCUGAGCUCUAAAUUUAGAAAUUUUGUAAUCUAAAGCUUGUUACAGCUUGAAAGUCAUUCACACAAACAAUCAGAAAUAAGAUAAACUGGGAGCAGGCAUCUGGUUUUAUUCUUUUAACAUUAUUUUAACCUUUUACAUUGAUUGUGUGUGUGCCACGGCACACAUGUGGAGGUCACAGGACAACUUUUGGGAGUUGGUUCUCUCCUUACACCGUGUGGGUCCUGGGGAUUAAAUUGAGGUGGUCAGACUUGGCAGCAGGUGCUCCUCCCCACAGGGCCAUGUCACCAGUCUCUCUCUUAACAACUUUUAAAAUAAUCAAACCAUGGCUCAGUCUGCUCCUGCUCUCUAAGCUGGAGCUCCGUCUCUUAUGCGAUAGGAGGCCUAGACUAGUUUCCCUCUCUGCGAGAGGCUUGGCUUGGUCAAGUAUUUGCUGGACUUUUUCUGCUUAAAAAAACAAGGCACUCUCCCCGUUAAACCAGCCCCUCAGCUAGUUCACUGUAUCUUCCUCUUGGUGCACACCAAAUGCAGCAGACACCGAUGCACUCCAAACUCCUAGAAGACUGGCAGAAGUCCCCUGGAGUCCUUACAGCUUUAUUCGUGUGAGACUAGGGCUCAGUCCUGGCUCACAGAGAUAGGUUUUAACAAGUCUGCACAGAUAUGCCAAGCCAGUGAGCCUUCACACACACACACACACACACACACACACACACACACACACACACACACACACACACACAAGCACAGGGACUUCUGCUUCCAUCCCUUGCCCUGGACACAGUGAAGAAGUGGGAAGAAAAUCUUUCCACGUAGAGAAUACUGUACUGGGGACAGUGUUCUCCCUGGGCGACAGGGCUGAUGGGAAGGAGGGAGCUAGGUCCCCCUGCUGUCACCUUCCUAGGGCCUUGCUGUGUAGCCCAAGCUGGCCUCGAAAUCCCAGCAGUUCCUUUUUUUGCUCAGCCUCUGGAGUGAUGCGAUGACAGGCCAGUCAUUUACAGCCCACACCACGGCACAUCACUGAGAUCCACUUAGGGUUUCAUUAUCAAAAUUGAGCGCUGAAUGGAGCCGUCAGGGGCUGUCUCUUCUAGUCCCCCCAGUCUGGCUGUUACACUCCUGUUCUGACAGCGGAUGUUUGGGGAGCCAUUUGCCAACACAUUCAGCUCAGUUCUUAGGGGAAGCACCUUCCUUUCCUCUCUCAGUGCCAGGAAUCGAACACAUGGAGUCUCACGUGCUAAGCAAGCUGCAUUUCCCACCUUCUCACUUGCUGUUCGUCAAUUUUCAUAAUAUCCAACUUACUUCAUUUCAGAGCAGUGGGCACAUCUGAGUCAGUGAGGCUUGGGCACAGGCGCAGCCAUCUCUCAGUGAGACCUGACGUGCAGAGAACCAGCUGCCUGGGCCAGCUCAGCAGCCAUAGGCCACCAUCAGACUUUAUCGGCUACCCAUUUUAGCAAGUGAGGGUAGAUGAGAGUAUCCCCAUGGGAGGUACAAUGGACAGGAGAAUGGAAAAAGUUGCUCAGGCUGGGACAGUCAAGAGAGACAUCACCAGUAAAACUUGUUCAAGCAAAGCAGUAGCAACUCUUCACUAGCUCUGAGUGUCACAACUGCUUAAUUCCUGGCACUGCGCAUGCUGAGAGUCCAGCAGCCCCCACCCAGAGAGUACAAGAUGUUUGAUCGUAGCAACUGAACAGGACAGUAUCCCAGAGCCAGUACCCUGUUGGGAUCUUCCUCCCUUCUCUCGGUUUAGUGUUUAACACUGUGUGGCCCCUCGUCCCACUCCCAGUCCCUGUGUAGAUGAGAGUUUCCCUAGAGGGACACCAAUAGCAGUGCACGGGUGCCUGGGGGCAGGCCACCCACAGAGUCGGAAAGACAGACAUCAAAGCCUGACGAACGGCAAAACCUGUGAAUUCAAGGGGAAACUGACCUCUGAUACACUUACGGCUCUUGCACUCAUGUGAACUCACAAGGAAACUGAUCUCUGAUACACUUACGGCUCUUGCACUCAUGUGAACUCACAAGGAAACUGAUCUCUGAUACACUUACGGCUCUUGCACUCACAGUUCACCCAAUUCUGGAGCUGAGAAGAAUGUCAGAGGUCUUGCUGACUAACGUCUUCGUCGCACAGAUGAAGGCAGCAUCCAAAGCUGCCAGUGACUGAGGAUACCUUGACUCCGUCUGUUGAUAAUCCAUCUAGAGAAGGCCCCUUCAGCCCACCUGCCUGGUGGGAGAUCUGAGCCUCUUCACAGGGGAGGUGGCACGCUAAUCACUGGAGGAGGGCCUGUCCAACCUAUCAUGAGAUCCCUCCAAAGCUGAAGGCCCAGGGCUAAGUCAUCUUGUGGCUGAGAUUCAGACCACAUAUGUAAGAACGGAGCCAUCAGCAUCAGGAAAUUCAAGAGCAGUCACUGUUCUGCUCUAACUGGGAGCAAUGAGCCAGAUCUUCCUGAGUUAAAGAGCUGAAGGUCCAGUGGUUGUUCCACAGGAAGAGGCCAGCUGCCGACGGGCAGGUGGCAACAGGAGGGUAGCGGCUGGAGUCAUACACGAGUGCACGGUGUCCUCUCCUGGGGCCAUGUCUUUUCAUUCCGCCCCCAGUUUGGAAUGGUGGGACACAUAAAAACUGAACAAACAAGGAGCAAUCUAAAGUCCUGGCGUGAGAGUGCUCCUUACUCCCCAAGACGCUCCCUCCGAUGCUGUACUCGAGCCUGGGAGACUGGGGUGAGGAUGAUGACGGUCUGGUCGACAGUGGAGGGAGACACUGUCAUCAGUUAGGACCUGGUAAAAUGAGGUCCAGUUAGAAUGAAGAGCCCCUCUGUAGGGUUUUUGUUUCUUUGCAAUUCUAACUCCAGUCAAAUUUUAUCUUCGAGAAUCUAAGCCAACAGGUUUAGGAUAAACCAAAGGUCACGAAAACACAUCUUCCAUUGAUUCGAUCAUUGUCUUCUUUAUCUUCAUUGAUCUUGACGAGCAUUUCAUAAAACCAUCAGCUUGUUCAUUAAAAGAUUUGGAAAGCCUUACAGGGUCUAAUAGUGUUAACACUUUAAAAUCUUAGAGUCGCUGAGCCAGACGGAGCGGCCUGCGGGAUAGCGUCGCAAAGCUGGUGGUCCUGAGGCAGCCCAUGAUACUUCCGGUUCCUGUUCCUAGCCGGGGCACUUCCGCCCGUGCGGCUGGUCGGCAUGGAGGCCAGCUGGUCUUCCCCGGUGGGCCCCGUUGACGCCGCAGACCCGCAGCUGCAGCGUUUCGUGGAGGUGGAGACGCAGAAACAGCGCGUGCAGCUGCUGGUCCACCACAUGACGGAGCUGUGCUGGGAGAAGUGCAUGGACAAGCCCGGGCCCAAGCUGGACGGCCGGGCCGAGGUCUGCCUGGUGAACUGCGUCGAGCGCUUCAUCGAUACGAGCCAGUUCAUCUUGAAUCGACUGGAGCAGAUCCAGAAAGCCAGACCGUUCUUCUCUGAAAGCCUCUCUGACUGAUCUCGGCCUUUCUCUCCUUGGAAAAGGAAGAUCCAGACAUGAACUCUCAGCUACUGCUCCAGUGCAUGCCUGCCUGCCUGCUGCCAUGCUCCCUGUCAUGGACUUCAACCCUCUGAAACUGUAAACCCCAAGUAUUCGCUCGGUUAUCCUGGUCAUGGUGUCUCAUCACAGCAAUAGAAAAGUAACUAAGACAAAGGUUGUUGCUGUGCUUUGUCGGAGACCACCUACUCGCUGGACUUUGUGUCCCACUUCUCCUCCUUCACAAGUUUGUUUCUUAAGGACAGUAGCUCCAUAAACCGCAUGUACCCACACCCCUGGGACCCCUGUAAAAUCUGUUUGAAUAUGUUAUGGCUUUAAUGUCUCCACUAGCACAUGCCAAAAAGGAGUUGCUUUUGUUACAGAAUUAAGAGGUAGACUGUUUAAGGGGCAAUUGAAUCACAAGACCUCUGUCCUUUAUGCCUGGCGUGGGUUAUAUUGGGGGAGUGGACCCCACUCUUCCUUCCCUGUCUCAUUUUGUUUCUCUUCUGUCAUGAUAUAGCAGAACAUGGAGACCCUGCACAGAUGCCUGACACCUGUUCUGGACCUCCCAGGUGCAAGAAUGCUUCUCCGAAUUGACAAAUGCAGUUUGCAGCAUAGAGGAAAAUCACAUUCCUCAGGUUUUGCUCCAGCCAGAGUUAUCAGCAGUGUGAGGAAAAGAGAGCAUCGCCGUCCGUGGGGAAAAAGCAGAGGAAAGUUCCCUUUUUUCUAGCUUGGAAGAGAACUCUCCACUCCUUUUGCGUUUCUGCCCAUCAGCGCUCACCAACCAGGAGCUCCCCAGCCCUGGAUCGUCCCGCCAUCCAGGUAACCUAGGGAACCGCAGGUGGAGCGUUAUACAGAAGAGACCGGAUCCGGAAGUAGAGGUCUACCAACCAAAAAGCGGCUAAGCGCGAUGACGUGUCGAAAUAGGCGUUGGCGUACCGGCUCUGCGAACGCCCUGUUCCCCGCUGCGCUCCGGGCGAGUCCUCUGUCAGGAAUCCCGACACCGUUUUCGUUCUCAGAGACUCGUUUGUCCGGGUGUUGUUGUUGUUGUUUACUUUGCCCAGAGUACGACAGUGGCUGGAGGAAAACACCUACGGGUCCCCGUGGGUUCAGCAUUACCGAGUCGUCCAGGUCACCGUGGAAGCCGUUCUCGGUUUUGCUCUGUGAAAGAGGGCGGGUGAAAUGCAUCUGGAAAACCUCAAGCUUUAGCGCCCCAAGUCUGCGAGUCUAAAUUCAGAUCCAGGACGUGUGUCCUCCGGCGACCAGCGCCGUGCACCUUAGUUUGCUUGUCCCGGGUUAUAGAGGCUGCUAUAGAAGAUGCAGAGACCAGGCAACAAACAGUGAACAAAUAAACACAGUUCCAAAAGUGGUAGAUACCGUGGGGCACCCGUGGAACUGAGGAACAUCCACAUUGUACAUUGUCCCUCUCACACAAGUAGAAGCAGAGACGACCAGCACAGUGGCCUGGGGGUAGUUCUGCGCUUGGAGACCACGAAGAGGACUCAGUCCAUAGUUGGGUGGCCCCGUGGACAGCAUGUGGGCUGUAGGGAACGAGGUUUGAGGCAAGGGUGCUGUUAUCUGAGGUAGAAAAAAGUCAUGACAAGGUCGGAGGCUGCGACAGUGAAGGUCAAGUCUGGUAGUGUCAGAAAAAUAAGUAUCUGUAGACAACAGCCGCUGCUUCUCUCCACAAUGGGAGUUGUCAUGACCUGCCCAGCCCAAGUUUCAGUGUGUUGACGUGUCUGAGAGGGGGGGGGUGUGGACACACUUCACCGUUCCUUGUGUUACACAAAUGGUCAGCAUCUGGGAGAACUACUAUAUUCCACAGGUCUGGAGGAAGAGGAGCAUCCUCUUGUUCCCUUCUGCCUUGACGAACUCACGUGCCUUCAGGGGUCACAUAGCUAGAUUGCGGCGUUCCAAAGCUGGAGCGCUCUGCCGGGUACGUCAGGGGUUUUUCUGGUGCUAGAUCCCUUCGGGGAAAAUAUAUGAACACCCACAAGAAUUGUGAUAGCCCAUGGGACUCCAAACUUCUUAAUUUACCGACUUUCUGAACUUGCCCUUCCUUAAACUUGGUUACGGUCAUGCAGGGCUGUUAAUGUUUGUUUUAUACUCUAAAAGGAUGCACUCUAGGGAGGAAUUCGAUUGACGUCUAAAGCUCCACGGGGUGGUAGGGGUCCAUCGGCUUUUUAUGGUAAAAUUAUUUUUUACUCCUUGAGAAAAUAUUCGAACUUUCCUUCAUCCACCGUCUCGGUCUCCAUCAGUACUUGGUUCAUCAGUCCUGAGUUGAUUGGCGUGUAUGAGGAAGUUACUGGGAACACAAAGGCGGAGCGCUCGAGAAACAAGACGUUCCGGAGGGCCAGAGUGGACUCUGGACCCAGAC
Molecule: RNA transcript, 7433 nt
Organism: Peromyscus californicus insignis
Lineage: Eukaryota; Metazoa; Chordata; Mammalia; Rodentia; Cricetidae
Gene name: putative mitochondrial import inner membrane translocase subunit Tim8 A-B
Exons: 6
Source: RefSeq, a predicted model, not a curated record